This 418-nucleotide ribosomal RNA is filed under the name uncultured bacterium. RNAcentral's name for it is "bacterial SSU rRNA". It matches the Rfam family "Bacterial small subunit ribosomal RNA", at positions 32 to 441 of the family's 1533-position model. The record is from RNAcentral.
AAUCAACGCUGGCGGCGUGCCUCAGACAUGCAAGUCGAACGAUUAAAGCUCUCUUCGGAGAGUGUAUAGAGUGGCGCACGGGUGAGUAACACGUAAGUAAUCUACCUUUGAGUGGGGAAUAACCCGGGGAAACCCGAGCUAAUACCGCAUAAUGCAGCGGCACCGCAAGGUGACAGUUGUUAAAGGAGCAAUCCGCUUAAAGAGGAGCUUGCGGCAGAUUAGCUAGNGGUAAGGUAAUGGCUUACCAAGGCUUCGAUCUGUAUCCGGCCUGAGAGGGCGGUCGGACACACUGACACUGAAUAACGGGUCAGACUCCUACGGGAGGCAGCAGUCGGGAAUUUUGGGCAAUGGGCGAAAGCCUGACCCAGCAACGCCGCGUGAAGGAUGAAGUAUUUCGGUAUGUAAACUUCGAAAGAAU